This 722-nucleotide long non-coding RNA is filed under the name Chrysolophus pictus (golden pheasant). RNAcentral's name for it is "lncRNA (ENSCPIG00010009435.1)". Lineage: Eukaryota; Metazoa; Chordata; Aves; Galliformes; Phasianidae. The record is from RNAcentral.
GAAGGUUUUCACACCACUUCCCCGUCCAAGGAAGAAGGUUCGUCAUCCAUUAUUUAUGAAAUCACCAUGUUGACUCUCUGUGGAGGUCUGCUUCUGCUCUUUGUGAUCAGUGUCAUAGUGAGAGUUCUCCAGAGUCGCUGCACUCCACAUUACUCUUCCAAAGACCUCAAUGCACCCACAGUUGCCCUGGAAAACACUGCCACGACCAACAGCUGCUCUGAUAGGAUUUCAACGGUGAAUUUGAGUGGCCCGGUGUGUCUGAGUUACGUUUCCAGCAGGCCCACUGGAGGUACAGAAGAGACAAUUUCCAUUUCUGAGCUCCCGUUCUUCUCCUUUGCUGUGUCAAUGACACCCCCGAAUUCACCACUGGAGCAGUGAUGGCUCCUCUUGUCAGCUGCUUUAUUCUGGAGACAAACAUGCACAAAGGGCUCUGGGGUGCACGUUGGCAAGCAAUGGGCUGGUGUGUCCUACAUUUCCUCCACCAUGACUUCAGGUUGCCAACCUGUACUACACCAGUAUUAGAAAAAAGAGGAAACUGGGGAUUUUUUGUUUUUUAUUUUUUUUUUGGAAGGGGAGAAAAAGUAUGGAUUCACUCACCUUAUCUUUGUGGAGUGAUGUAUUAAAAGUGUACCAAGGAUUUACUUUUCUCCAUAUUAUUUCUUUCUGUUGAAUGAGUCAUGAGAAGAAAUAAACAUGGGGGAAUUUCAGGUGAUUUUUAUUCA